This 512-nucleotide ribosomal RNA is filed under the name bacterium enrichment culture clone ALO1_GLFRUDD03FX3BO. RNAcentral describes it as "bacterial SSU rRNA". It matches the Rfam family "Bacterial small subunit ribosomal RNA", at positions 9 to 516 of the family's 1533-position model. The record is from RNAcentral.
GAGUUUGAUCGUGGCUCAGAUUGAACGCUGGCGGCAGGCCUAACACAUGCAAGUCGAGCGGAUGACGGGAGCUUGCUCCUUGAUUCAGCGGCGGACGGGUGAGUAAUGCCUAGGAAUCUGCCUGGUAGUGGGGGACAACGUUUCGAAAGGAACGCUAAUACCGCAUACGUCCUACGGGAGAAAGCAGGGGACCUUCGGGCCUUGCGCUAUCAGAUGAGCCUAGGUCGGAUUAGCUAGUUGGUGGGGUAAUGGCUCACCAAGGCGACGAUCCGUAACUGGUCUGAGAGGAUGAUCAGUCACACUGGAACUGAGACACGGUCCAGACUCCUACGGGAGGCAGCAGUGGGGAAUAUUGGACAAUGGGCGAAAGCCUGAUCCAGCCAUGCCGCGUGUGUGAAGAAGGUCUUCGGAUUGUAAAGCACUUUAAGUUGGGAGGAAGGGCAGUAAGUUAAUACCUUGCUGUUUUGACGUUACCGAUAGAAUAAGCACCGGCUAACUCUGUGCCAGCAGCC